This 503-nucleotide ribosomal RNA is filed under the name Neotricula aperta. Its description in RNAcentral is "partial 16S large subunit ribosomal RNA". It matches the Rfam family "Bacterial large subunit ribosomal RNA", at positions 1817 to 2597 of the family's 2925-position model. Lineage: Eukaryota; Metazoa; Mollusca; Gastropoda; Littorinimorpha; Pomatiopsidae. The record is from RNAcentral.
GGCUCUUUGAAAUAAGUAUAUAGAGAGUCGAACCUGCCCAGUGAUUUUUUAAACGGCCGCAGUACUCUGACUGUGCAAAGGUAGCAUAAUCAUUUGCCCUAUAAUUGAGGGCUUGUAUGAACGGUUUGACAAGAGCAUAACUGUCUCUUAAAAAUUUUAUAGAAUUUGGUUUUUAGGUGAAGAAACCUAAAUAUAAUUGAAAGACAAGAAGACCCUAUCGAGCUUUAGAGCAAUUAAUUAAAGAAUAUAAUUAAAACAAUUAAUUUUAAUUAAGAACUUUGGUUGGGGCGACUGAGGAACAUAUAAAGCUUCUUUAAUUAGAAUACGCUUAUAGGCUAUGAUCCAAAAAGUUUGAUUAAAAAAAUUAGUUACCGUAGGGAUAACAGCAUAAUCUUUUUCAAGAGUUCUUAUCGAAAAAAAGGUUUGUGACCUCGAUGUUGGACUAGGAUAUCUCAAAGAUGCAGAAGUCUUUAACAGUUGGUCUGUUCGACCAUUAAAAUCCU